CGGUGGGGUAUGUGGUUUAAUUCGAUGCAACGCGAAGAACCUUACCUGGCCUUGACAUCCACGGAACUUACCAGAGAUGUUGUCCGCCGUAACAGGUGUGACGAGCGCAACCCUUGUCCUUAGUUGCCAGCGGGAUGUCAAGUAUCAUGGCCCUUACGGCCAGGCUACAUACAUGGUCGGUACAAGGGUCGCUAAGCCGCGAGGUAGAGCCUCCCAGAAAACCGAUCCCAGUCCGGAUCGAAGUGCAACUCGACUUCGUGAAGUCGGAAUCGCUAGUAAUCGGGAUCAGAAUGCCGCGGUGAAUACGUUCCCGGGCCUUGUACACACCGCCGUCACACCAUGGGAGUUGGUUGCUCCAGAAGUAGGUAGUCUAACCGCAAGGGGGACGCUUACCACGAGUGGUCAAUGACUGGGGUGAAGUCGUACAAGGU
RNAcentral lists this ribosomal RNA (431 nucleotides) under uncultured Gammaproteobacteria bacterium. RNAcentral's name for it is "bacterial SSU rRNA". It matches the Rfam family "Bacterial small subunit ribosomal RNA", at positions 930 to 1497 of the family's 1533-position model. The record is from RNAcentral. Lineage: Bacteria; Pseudomonadati; Pseudomonadota; Gammaproteobacteria.